AGGGCACCACCAGGGGUGGAGCCUGCGGCUUAAUUUGACUCAACACGGGGAAACUCACCAGGUCCAGACACAAUGAGGAUUGACAGAUUGAGAGCUCUUUCUUGAUUUUGUGGGUGGUGGUGCAUGGCCGUUCUUAGUUGGUGGAGUGAUUUGUCUGCUUAAUUGCGAUAACGAACGAGACCUUAACCUGCUAAAUAGCCCCUAUUGCUUUGGCAGUAGGCUGGCUUCUUAGAGGGACUAUCCGCUCAAGCGGAUGGAAGUUUGAGGCA
This 269-nucleotide ribosomal RNA is filed under the name uncultured eukaryote. RNAcentral's name for it is "partial small subunit ribosomal RNA". It matches the Rfam family "Eukaryotic small subunit ribosomal RNA", at positions 1161 to 1452 of the family's 1831-position model. The record is from RNAcentral.